RNAcentral lists this ribosomal RNA (253 nucleotides) under uncultured bacterium. RNAcentral's name for it is "partial 16S ribosomal RNA". It matches the Rfam family "Bacterial small subunit ribosomal RNA", at positions 524 to 776 of the family's 1533-position model. The record is from RNAcentral.
GACGAAGGAUGCAAGCGUUAUCCGGAUUCAUUGGGUUUAAAGGGAGCGUAGGCGGCCCUGUAAGUCAGUGGUGAAAUCUCGCAGCUUAACUGCGAAAUUGCCAUUGAUACUGCAGGGCUUGAGUACAGUUGCUGUGGGCGGAAUAUGACAUGUAGUGGUGAAAUACAUAGAGAUGUCAUAGAACACCGAUUGCGAAGGCAGCUCACAAAACUGUAACUGACGCUGAGGCUCGAAAGUGCGGGGAUCAAACAGG